AAAUUGAAGAGUUUGAUCAUGGCUCAGAUUGAACGCUGGCGGCAGGCCUAACACAUGCAAGUCGAACGGUAACAGGAAGCAGCUUGCUGCUUUGCUGACGAGUGGCGGACGGGUGAGUAAUGUCUGGGAAACUGCCCGAUGGAGGGGGAUAACUACUGGAAACGGUGGCUAAUACCGCAUAACGUCGCAAGACCAAAGAGGGGGACCUUCGGGCCUCUUGCCAUC
RNAcentral lists this ribosomal RNA (225 nucleotides) under Salmonella enterica. RNAcentral describes it as "partial 16S ribosomal RNA". It matches the Rfam family "Bacterial small subunit ribosomal RNA", at positions 1 to 222 of the family's 1533-position model. Lineage: Bacteria; Pseudomonadati; Pseudomonadota; Gammaproteobacteria; Enterobacterales; Enterobacteriaceae. The record is from RNAcentral. RNAcentral also lists the same sequence under 1 other name.